AUUGAACGCUGGCGGCAUGCCUUACACAUGCAAGUCGAACGGCAGCAUGGAGAGCUUGCUCUCUGAUGGCGAGUGGCGAACGGGUGAGUAAUGCAUCGGAACGUACCGUGUAAUGGGGGAUAACGUAGCGAAAGUUACGCUAAUACCGCAUACGACAUGAGGGUGAAAGCAGGGGAUCGCAAGACCUUGCGUUAUACGAGCGGCCUAUGUCAGAGUAGCUAGUUGGUGAUGUAAAGGCUCACCAAGGCGACGAUCUGUAGCGGGUCUGAGAGGAUGAUCCGCCACACUGGGACUGAGACACGGCCCAGACUCCUACGGGAGGCAGCAGUGGGGAAUUUUGGACAAUGGGGGCAACCCUGAUCCAGCCAUGCCGCGUGAGUGAAGAAGGCCUUCGGGUUGUAAAGCUCUUUCGGCCGGGAAGAAAUCGCACAGGCUAAUACUCUGUGUGGAUGACGGUACCGGCAUAAGAAGCACCGGCUAACUACGUGCCAGCCGCCGCCGUAA
Molecule: ribosomal RNA, 504 nt
Filed under: uncultured bacterium
Lineage: Bacteria
Description: partial 16S ribosomal RNA
Rfam family: Bacterial small subunit ribosomal RNA
Source: RNAcentral